This 496-nucleotide ribosomal RNA is filed under the name uncultured bacterium. RNAcentral describes it as "partial 16S ribosomal RNA". It matches the Rfam family "Bacterial small subunit ribosomal RNA", at positions 28 to 507 of the family's 1533-position model. The record is from RNAcentral.
GAUGAACGCUGGCGGCGUGCCUAAUACAUGCAAGUCGAGCGAACAGACGAGGAGCUUGCUCCUCUGACGUUAGCGGCGGACGGGUGAGUAACACGUGGAUAACCUGCCUAUAAGACUGGGAUAACUUCGGGAAACCGGAGCUAAUACCGGAUAAUAUAUUGAACCGCAUGGUUCAAUAGUGAAAGACGGUUUUGCUGUCACUUAUAGAUGGAUCCGCGCCGCAUUAGCUAGUUGGUAAGGUAACGGCUUACCAAGGCGACGAUGCGUAGCCGACCUGAGAGGGUGAUCGGCCACACUGGAACUGAGACACGGUCCAGACUCCUACGGGAGGCAGCAGUAGGGAAUCUUCCGCAAUGGGCGAAAGCCUGACGGAGCAACGCCGCGUGAGUGAUGAAGGUCUUCGGAUCGUAAAACUCUGUUAUUAGGAAGAACAAAUGUGUAAGUAACUAUGCACGUCUUGACGGUACCUAAUCAGAAAGCCACGGCUAACUACGUG